GCCUGGCCCGUCGGUCACGUGACCGCCCGGAAACCCUGAGCUGACUAUUGGUGGCUGAGGUGAGGUGGCGGAACGCGGAGCUGGAGCAAUGCGGGGGCGGCGGCGGCCUCUGCUGCUGGGGCAGCAGCUGUUAACUAUGAGUCUUGGCCAGGAAAGAUGAUCUAAAUCAUUUACCUUCUACUCAUUAAGAUCAAGGCUAAAGUGGAAAGGGUAGGAAGAGAGAGUAUGGCUGGGCCUAAUACUUUUCAGAGUGGGGCUUGGACAUCCAGAUUCACUCAUCAUCAUAUUGUUGUGUUCCUGCUCACUUUUUUCAGUUAUUCACUUCUUCAUGCUUCAAGAAAAACCUUUAGCAAUGUGAAAGUCAGUAUUUCUAGCCAGUGGACUCCAACAUACUUAAACAAAACUGCUGUGAAACUGGAGCCUAUAGAGCUUUGGAACAACAGUCAUUUAUUUCCAAAUGCUGAGGAGGCUACCCUUUUCCUUGGGACACUGGACACCAUUUUUCUCUUCUCAUAUGCUGUGGGUCUUUUCAUCAGUGGUAUAAUUGGGGAUCGAUUUAAUAUGCGAUGGGUUCUGUCCUUUGGUAUGUGCUCCUCUGCAGUAGUGGUGUUUUGCUUUGGCACCCUCACAGAAUGGCUUCAUUUCUAUAACAAGUGGUUCUACUGUUCCCUGUGGAUAUUGAAUGGCCUCCUGCAGUCCACUGGUUGGCCCUGUGUUGUUGCAGUUAUGGGCAACUGGUUUGGAAAAGCUGGACGUGGAGUUAUUUUUGGGCUCUGGAGUGCUUGUGCCUCAGUGGGCAAUAUUUUGGGAGCAUGCCUAGCAUCUUCAGUUUUGCAGUAUGGGUAUGAGUAUGCUUUCUUGUUAACAGCAUCAGUACAGUUUGCUGGUGGAAUCAUUAUCUUCUUUGGACUUUUGAUAUCUCCAGAAGAAAUUGGUCUUCCAGAGAUUGAGAAAGAAGAAAGUUCUGAAGAUGAUCCUUGUAGACCAUUAAUUAAUAAUGAAAGUGAGGAUCAUGAGCCCAAUUACUCAAUCCAAGAAGUCAGUACAAUCCAUCAGCCAAAGGCAAUCAGCUUUUACCAGGCUUGUUGCCUUCCUGGAGUUAUUCUGUAUUCUUUGGCCUAUGCCUGCUUGAAGUUAGUGAAUUAUUCCUUCUUCUUCUGGCUGCCCUUUUAUCUGAGCAACAACUUUAGAUGGAAAGAGGCUGAAGCUGACAAGCUCUCCAUUUGGUAUGAUGUUGGAGGAAUUAUAGGUGGAACUUUACAAGGCUUCAUCUCUGACAUGCUACAGAAGAGAGCACCAGUCUUAGCUGGGAGUCUGCUUCUGGCAAUUGGGUCCCUUGUUGGUUAUAGCCGUUCUCCAAACAAUAAGGCUAUUAAUGCAUUUCUAAUGACUGUAACAGGGUUUUUCAUUGGAGGACCCUCUAAUAUGAUUAGUGCUGCUAUUUCUGCGGAUUUGGGUCACCAGGAGCUGGUACAGGGAAGCAGUGAAGCCUUGGCCACGGUUACAGGAAUUGUUGAUGGAACUGGGAGUAUUGGAGCAGCAAUGGGCCAGAGCCACUGCAUAUAAUAAAUAGUACUUUUUGAGACAAGAAAGAGAAAAAAAGAGGGAAAAGAGUCAUCAUCUGUUGUAGAGGAUAAAGAGGGUGGAGGACUAUUCUGAACUGGUUCUGAUUUGCCAGCUACCAUCUCCUUGAGUACAUGGUACUUCAGCUCCUUUUUUGUUUAUUUGCUCAUCUUAAGUGACUGAAUAUUAUGAGACAUGAGAUCCCAGGUGAUCUGAUAAGUUCAGGAGAUCUGGAAAUCCCAUCAGAGGUCCUAUCAGUAACUAGAGGUGGUAGCAGUGGAGAAACAAGAGAGAAAACAACAGCAGAUAUUUGUAGAAAGAGAAUCAUUCAAUGUCAAUGAAGAUGACAGCUUCGUGGAAUGUGACUGCGCAUGCAGAGUACUGCUUGCUAGUGGUGAAUUCAAAAAAAGCAAUGACUCUUAGAGUGCAGCCAGGUUACCCACAUGUAAAGGUACCACCCAUAAGAGGAACUUCAUGAGGACUCUAUGAAAGGAGAACAUGACUUCCAAGACCAGGAGUGAGCAGUUACUCCUUUGCCAUAGAAUUUCUCUACUCCAAGGAUCCUGUGUAUGCAAGAGAAGAGUAUAUCUCUGGUUUAAGGGAAUUAAAAAACCCUGUUCUUAUCAUACCACCUGAGUAAAUCCCUUUUCUGAAAACUAAUCAACAUUAAUGUAUCUGCUGGCCGACUAUUAAUGGGUAAGUAUAUUGGAGGGGGCUUGUAAGCAAAAGUGCUAGAAACUCCAUUCCCUCCAUGUUCAUACUAGGACACUGAGAAUAGUAGUAACUUGCUCUCUUGGGGACCACCCAUCAAUUCCAGUGGGAUUUGAGUUAUUUGAGUGGCUGGGGGUGGAAUGUUCUAUAGGAUACUUUUAUUUCCCUUAAAAGUUUCUCCAAAAAAGUCAUCUUAAAAAAUAAGAAUUGCUUUAAUAAUGGAGAUGACUGUUACUACUUGGUCGAUCAAAAUUAGGAUGUUGUUUUUUGCUUUUCUUUAUGUGUCAAUUCACAGAAAAGAAAGCAAUACAAUGAUCCCUAGCUAUAAAAACAUAGAGACAUGUAACUCUUUGGGUUAGAAUUCUUUGAUAGAUUUCAAUGAAAGGACAAUAUUUGCUUUUUGCCACCAAAGGACAUAAAUUUCCCUUAGGACUGUCAAGUAAGAAGUAGGCUCUGCCAGAAAUGCUUGUGAGUUGCAUUUCCUUAAGUGGUGGAGGUAGAAGAACCAGUCAAAGGGAUUUGGCCAGCAGGAUAAUUAGCUUUGUCUAGAAGACUUUUCUGGUGAUGUGAGUAUAGAGAAAAGGAGGUAGAAUAAUGCAGUUUUUGCACCCCAAGGUGCCACCUAGGUGCCCUCCUUUCACACACUCCCUUAGCCAGAAUUGAAUUUUUGAAAGGACCUACCUCUAGGCAAUGCCUGAAGCCACUGGAAAGGUGAGAUAGACUUCAUCUUCAUCUUCACUGGAAAGAUGAGAUAGAGUCCAGAGUAUUUUUCAAGAAUAUGGAGAUUUUGGUUUAGUUUGAUAGCACUUUUACAACUAACUCAUUCUUCACCGAUUUACAGGAUCUUAGAGUUGGGGGACAUCCUGUUGGUUGAACCUUGGUCGAACUUCUUACCCAGUGCUGGAAUUUCUGGUGCUGAUGGCAAGUCUUUCCUGGAUCUGUCUAGAGGCUCCUAACAUGGAUCAUAAAAUCAGAUUCCCUAUCCUUUCCAGUUCUACCCUCUGGAACAAUCUAAAAGGAGCCUGCUCCCCCUUCCCUAGGACAAAAUCUUCACCCCUCUGAAGCCUGACAUUAUCUCUAGGUCUUAGCUUUCCCAUCCAUCAAGUGAGGGGGCCAGCCCAGAUCACAUCUAAGGCCACUUCCAGCACUAACAUUCCACGACUCGGUGUCUCUCCUUCGUCUUCUCUACUCUAAACAUCCUCAUUUCCCUCAAGCACACGGCAUAUUUUGCAGCUCUUUCAUUAUCUACAGUGCUCCUCUCUAGAUAUCCUCCAGCUGGUCAGAGCCUCUUUUAGAAUGCAGUGCCCAGAAUUCUGUGUGUCUCCGAGAUGCUGGCUAUGGAGGCAGAGGAGCUGGGACCAGAUGAUGGGGAGGGAGGAAUCUCUGAUGAUAACUCCUCUAACCCCCUCAUUUAAUGGAAGGAAGGAAGGAGGGGAAAAGUAUCUACAUAUCCCAGAUAGGAAGCACUUUAUAACUAUUACCUCAUUGGAUUCUCACAACCACCCUGGGAGGUAAAUGCUGUUAUUAUCCUAAUUUUACAGAUGAUGUAAGGGAGGCAGGUAGAGGUUAAGUGGCUUGCCCAGGAUCAUAGAGCCGGUAAGUUUAUGAGGCUGGAUUUGAACUGCCUCCAAGCCUAGCACUCUAUCCUCUCCUAGACCUCUCUCAAGUAAAGAAACUGAGGCCCAGAGACAAGAAGGAACCGAUAUUCAAAUCCUGACCUUCUGAUUCCAAAUCCAGCACUCACUCUCCUGCACCAUUCUGGUUUAAUUCACCACUGUGAGGCUUUGUACCAUUUAUUUUUCUCAACUUGGAGAAGAGGAGAAUAUGGACUAGGCAAUUGUCCAUCCCAAGACUUACAGAAUGCUUUACCUAUAUUGCUUCAUUUGAACCCUACAACAAGCCACCGAUAUGGGUUCUACAGGUAUUAUAUCCCCAUUUUACAGAUGAGGAAACUAAGGCUCCCAGAGGUUGAAUUAUUUGCCUUGGUUCAAGUAGCUAAUAAGUGUCAGAAAAGGGAUUUGAACCCAGAUCUUUUUUGAUUCCAAACCUUGGGUUAAAUUCUAUGUCCAGUGGCCUGUGAAUUCAUCUCAAAGACCCUUUUUUUAAAUCUCUAAUUCCCUUGUAUAAGUAAUUUUAUCCCUUAGGGUCCUAUCAGGAGGGAGAUGGCUCCUAUACUUCAGUGAUCUCUCAAAGUGCGAUCCACAGACCCCUGGAACUCUCUGAGACCUUUUCUGGGGGGUCCAUGAGGUUGCAACUAUUUUUACACUAAAACCAAGAUUUUCUUUGCCUGUUAAAAUACUUCUCCCUUUUCCAGUUACAUAUCUGUGUGAGGCUGAUUUUCUUCACAUACUUGAACUGAAACAACAGAUUGAAUGCAGAGCAGAUAUGAGAAUCCAGCUGUCUUCUGUCAAACCAGACAUUACAGGGGAUUUGCAAAAACAUGGAAAAACAAUGCCAAUCUCUCAGUGAAACAUUUUGUUUUGAGAAAUAUACUUGUUUUGUAAAAAUAUUAGUUAUGUUAAAAUGCAAGAGAUGUAAUUUUCAAUGAAUCAGGGAGCAUUUUAGACAUUCAUUUUAAUGUCUAAGAGUAUUGAUACAUAUAAUCUACAUAAACAAAAA
Monodelphis domestica (gray short-tailed opossum) is the source of this 4893-nucleotide RNA transcript. It is a transcript of the gene named solute carrier family 37 member 3, with no coding region annotated. The record is from RefSeq and is a predicted model, not a curated record. NCBI's taxonomy places the organism in Eukaryota, Metazoa, Chordata, Mammalia, Didelphimorphia, Didelphidae.